AUUGAACGCUGGCGGCAGGCCUAACACAUGCAAGUCGAACGAGUGGCGGACGGGUGAGUAAUGUCUGGGCAACUGCCCGAUGGCGGGGGCUAACUACUGGACACGGUAGCUAAUACCGCAUACCAUCGGAUGUGCCCAGUUGGGAUUAGCUCGUAGGUGGGGUAACGGCUCACCUGGGCGACGCUCCCUAGCGGGUCUUCGAGGAUGACCGGCCACACUGGAACUGAGACACGGUCCAGACUCCGACGGGAGGCAGCAGUGGGGAAUAUUGCACAAUGGGCGCAAGCCUGAGGCAGCCAUGCCGCGUGUAUGAAGAAGGCCUUCGGGUUGUAAAGUACUUUCAGCGAGGAGGCGUUACUCGCAGAAGAAGCACCGGCUAACUACGUGCCAGCAGCCGCGGUAAUUC
Molecule: ribosomal RNA, 406 nt
Filed under: uncultured bacterium
Lineage: Bacteria
Description: partial 16S ribosomal RNA
Rfam family: Bacterial small subunit ribosomal RNA
Source: RNAcentral